Misgurnus anguillicaudatus (oriental weatherfish) is the source of this 3114-nucleotide non-coding RNA. The record is from RefSeq and is a predicted model, not a curated record. NCBI's taxonomy places the organism in Eukaryota, Metazoa, Chordata, Actinopteri, Cypriniformes, Cobitidae.
GUUCUAAUGUGUAAGCAACUCAGAAAGUUUAUUAAAACGAUUUCCCCACAUCAAAACGUCUGGUUGUAGCAUUUGGUUGCACUAAUAUAAUAUAUGUUUAGUAUUUGGCCAUCUUCUAACGUCUUCUAUCCACUCCACUAUAGUACACGGAUUUGGUAAUUGUGUAGAAGAUAAGUCAACUUUUUAAACUAACUUUCUCUGUCUGUGUUGCUUCACUGCUGAUUCUUGCCGUGCUUCCGUUGCCAAACUGCGUGCGCAUACGUUGCCACGUCAUCAUUGUGUACAAACAGUAAAAGGGUCACUCACUCACUCACUCUUUCGCAAGCUUCUCUGUUUUCAAGUAUUGUAAUUUUAUUCAUUUUACUCUCUCUCUCACUGUCCAAAACACUUAUCCUAUGCCUCUUUGUCUGACCAAUGUAGUAUUGUUGAAAUGGCUGCUGAGCAAGACAGAGGGAGAGCAGAGGGUGUUAUUUUCAUAGCAGACAUGCUUCUUGCUCAAAUCAAGGCAGAGGAGCCCAAGGGCAAAGCAACAGCCAUUAAAGGGAGUACAUUUAAUGUCAGAUAGGUGGAGAAAAUGCUGAAGGAGGUCCACUACUAAAAAGCAGCAGAAGUGAAGAGAUACAAAGCUUCAGCUACAGUCUGUUUAUUGCCUACAGUGAGACCUCCACAUUUCUGCACUUGUGAUCAUGCAAACAUCCAGUGUAGAGCACUUCACCUGCCCGGCAUGUACACCCAACAAUGCUCACUCUUUGUGCAGAUGGCAACAGAAAAACCUACAGAUUCCGUCAGUCAAAAGAAAGGAGCUUCAAGCAGCCACAAACGGAGAGUUCUUUUGAACAGAUAUUGCUUGCAAGUAUUGGCCAUACCUUGAGAAGGCGUCAGUCUCCAUGUUGGAACUCAGACCUUUACUGCAGAUGAGACCUUUCCUUUCUGUCAUGCAUGCCAAGGCUCAUUCAACCAAGUGUCAGGUGUCACACAUUUGUUAGAUAAUCUGGCAAAAAUCAGGAAGGUGCUGGUACAACUGCAGUUGAGGAGGUCGAAAUGGUCAACAGCUACCUGUCUCGUUGUGGCCUCACAACCAAGUAUCUAAUUGAUGCCUAUUUAUAAUAUUUUAGGAAACCUGUCUUUAUUUUUUCACUUUUUUAUUCUUUCUGUCUAGUACUUUGAGAUUGCAUAAGAGUAAGCUGUAACUGUUCAAAGUACAUAAAAAAUUGCCAUGAAUGACAUGCUAACUGUCCAUGCUAUUGGGUGGAACCAACGGAAGCAAGAAGGCCUUCAGCAUUAUCCAACAGAUACAUCAAGAAAGGCUGAGUCUCAGAGACGGGAAGAUUUGAGCAGUGAACUGGGGUGUCCUGAGAACAUUGUGAAUCAGUGGGUACAAGAUGUCAGACAAAAGGCUACUGAUGGAUUUGGUAGGUACCAGAUGUGAUGACCUACACAACCUUCAGAAAUGAAUUGAACAAAUGUUUCUUAGUCUUCAUCGAAAAGCCAGCCUUUAUAAUCACACUGAAUCCAGCAACACCAAGAAGAUUUCAAAAGUGCGCCUUCAAGAAGCAAAGAUUAUUGUGAUGAGGGAGAUGAGACACCACUGCACCGCACCUAUCUCAGAAGCCUGGCUAGGAACAUCAGGAAAAUGAUAUCAGAAAUGUCUUCAGGCAAAAACAGUGGCAGUUUAAGUGAAGAGUGUCAUCGCUGGCUACUGUGUCGUCUUCAGAAAAGGCUUGCAGAUGUAGAGAAGAAGUUCCAAGUUUGCUCAAGUUACAGCCAGGCUUUAGGACAGUGUUCUUCACUCCCAACCCUGGAGAGCCGGUGUCCUGCAGACUUUAGGUCCAACCUUAAUCAAACACAUCUGAAAGCUAAUCAAUGUCUUCAUGAUCUCUAGAAAAUCACAGGUACGUGUGUUUGAUUAAGGUUGGAGCUAGGCUCUGCAGGACACCGGCUCUCCAGGAUAGAGAGUGAAGAAAACUGCUUUAGGACCAAAUGCUGUUUCUCUGCUGGAGGAUGAGCCUGAGGAGAUACUGGAGGACCACAAAGAGCUGGAUUAUGAGAGUUCAGAUGACAUUUUGGAUUUGGAACUCUGAACUGGUGUAUGCAUUUAGACUGUGUGUCACACUGAACUGCAGGUGUGUUUCAUGGAAAACAAAACUAUUUGGAAAUGUAAUGGAUGUCUGAUACAGUGCUUUUAUUUUAGACAACCGUUUCCUGCAGUCUGUAAGCAACAUUAGCCUCAUAGAUUGAUGGGAAACUACUGUUAAAUAAGUUUUUGUAUGAUAAUCCAUAUCUCCGUUUACAAGCAGCAGGUUAGCUAUUAGGUUUCCCCUCCACCUCCGAUGUUUCACAGACUACUACAGUCAACUGUGUUGCUACAACUUGCAAAUGCCACAAUCCUCUUGCAGUGGUUACUUCACCAAACUGUGCCCAUAUCAUCUUGUCAACAUAAUGACAUUUACUGUAGAAAAAUGUGCAAAUCUAUUUUGCCUGUGUUACAUAUGUUACUAUUAUUGUUAUAUAGUUUUAUACUGUAUAAAGUUUUUUUCACAGUGAUUGUGGAUACGUUUGGAGUGAACUAACUGUAUGUCAUUAGAUGAAAUACUUUCCAUAAAUGACUGAUCAAUAACCUACCCAUAUUUGAUGCAUGAGUUAAUACUGUUGUUACCUUUUCAAUGAAAGGAAAUGUUUUACAAUGCCAUUUUCUUGAGGUAAUUAUUAAACUGUUUCAUAUAUGUACCUGCAAAAUUGUUUGCUAAAGCGUUGUUUACUUUUCCCUGUUUUGAAAAUGAGAUGUAAAACUGCUUCAUUUAUUUAUGCCCUAAAAAUAUAUGAUAGUUUAAUACAGGGUAAAUAAUAAAAACGUGUUAAUUAGUUAGUAUAUACAGUUGUGUUGUAUUAUUUAUGGCAUAGUUGUUAUAAUUAAUACAAGUUUUUCAUUACACUGCUGCAUAACUUUGCUCUAGAUAAUAGUAGGGUAUUAACACUAGACAGUUCAAAGAUGAUUAACUUUUAAGUUAUGUAUACUAUCAAUACAUAUAUUUACAUAUAGUAUGUGUGAAUGCUUUUGGUCUUUGAUUAAAUGCUUGUCAGCACGGGAAAGUGCUUUGUAAAUAAAGUUAUUUU